This 503-nucleotide ribosomal RNA is filed under the name uncultured bacterium. RNAcentral describes it as "partial 16S ribosomal RNA". It matches the Rfam family "Bacterial small subunit ribosomal RNA", at positions 30 to 523 of the family's 1533-position model. The record is from RNAcentral.
AUUGAACGCUGGCGGCAGGCUUAACACAUGCAAGUCGAGCGGGGUGAUGGUGCUUGCACUAUCACUUAGCGGCGGACGGGUGAGUAAUGCUUAGGAAUCUGCCUAUUAGUGGGGGACAACAUCUCGAAAGGGAUGCUAAUACCGCAUACGUCCUACGGGAGAAAGCAGGGGAUCACUUGUGACCUUGCGCUAAUAGAUGAGCCUAAGUCGGAUUAGCUAGUUGGUGGGGUAAAGGCCUACCAAGGCGACGAUCUGUAGCGGGUCUGAGAGGAUGAUCCGCCACACUGGGACUGAGACACGGCCCAGACUCCUACGAGAGGCAGCAGUGGGGAAUAUUGGACAAUGGGGGGAACCCUGAUCCAGCCAUGCCGCGUGUGUGAAGAAGGCCUUAUGGUUGUAAAGCACUUUAAGCGAGGAGGAGGCUCUUUUGGUUAAUACCCAAGAUGAGUGGACGUUACUCGCAGAAUAGGCACCGGCUAACUCUGUGCCAGCAGCCGCCGUAA